AGUGAACGCUGGCGGUAGGCCUAACACAUGCCAGUCGAACGGCAGCACAGUAAGAGCUUGCUCUUACGGGUGGCGAGUGGCGGACGGGUGAGGAAUACAUCGGAAUCUACUUUUUCGUGGGGGAUAACGUAGGGAAACUUACGCUAAUACCGCAUACGACCUACGGGUGAAAGCAGGGGAUCUUCGGACCUUGCGCGAUUGAAUGAGCCGAUGUCGGAUUAGCUAGUUGGCGGGGUAAAGGCCCACCAAGGCGACGAUCCGUAGCUGGUCUGAGAGGAUGACCAGCCACACUGGAACUGAGACACGGUCCAGACUCCUACGGGAGGCAGCAGUGGGGAAUAUUGGACAAUGGGCGCAAGCCUGAUCCAGCCAUACCGCGUGGGUGAAGAAGGCCUUCGGGUUGUAAAGCCCUUUUGUUGGGAAAGAAAAGCAGCAGGUUAAUACCCCGCUGUUCUGACGGUACCCAAAGAAUAAGCACCGGCUAACUUCGUG
This 492-nucleotide ribosomal RNA is filed under the name uncultured bacterium. RNAcentral describes it as "partial 16S ribosomal RNA". It matches the Rfam family "Bacterial small subunit ribosomal RNA", at positions 29 to 507 of the family's 1533-position model. The record is from RNAcentral.